This 298-nucleotide ribosomal RNA is filed under the name uncultured bacterium. RNAcentral's name for it is "partial 16S ribosomal RNA". It matches the Rfam family "Bacterial small subunit ribosomal RNA", at positions 472 to 776 of the family's 1533-position model. The record is from RNAcentral.
UUAGAAACCCCAGUAGUCCGCCUGAUGUGCCAGCAGCCGCGGUAAUACGUAGGGCGCAAGCGUUAUCCGGAAUUAUUGGGCGUAAAGAGCUCGUAGGCGGUUUGUCGCGUCUGCCGUGAAAGUCCGGGGCUUAACCCCGGAUCUGCGGUGGGUACGGGCAGACUAGAGUGCAGUAGGGGAGACUGGAAUUCCUGGUGUAGCGGUGAAAUGCGCAGAUAUCAGGAGGAACACCGAUGGCGAAGGCAGGUCUCUGGGCUGUAACUGACGCUGAGGAGCGAAAGCAUGGGGAGCGAACAGG